AUAAAAUAUAUUGUAUUUGUCCGUCUGUCCCACACAGAGACAACAACGACCUCGACCAGCAGAAGACCAGAAACCAGAACGAGUGCAGCGUCGACACCGGGGACACACACAGAGAAAGACCCCCACGCUGCUUUGGUGGUUGGAAUAGUCUCCCCCAUCUUCAUCAUCAUCAUCAUCUUCGUUGUGUACUUUGCUUGGAGACGAAGGCUUGAAAGACGAGGUUCUCCCCAAACUCCUGGAAAUGUUUUGUCAGCGUUAUUAAUUCAUAAAAAGGUGAAUGCAGAGAACCACCUCCUCCUCACCAGCAGUUCCUCCCCUGGUUUGUGUGAACAGAACAUCUGGCUGAUGUCACAACACCGAAAGGAAGUGCAGAAAUAUGCAACGUCUAUGAGGAGAUACAGGAAGGACCUGCGAUGACGCCUACAAAUGGAGGAGGACGCUCGGCUGGACCAACAGCUUCAGUCUGCAUGGCAGAUUUCACAGGUCCGUCACAGCUCCCUGAAAACCCGUAUUGUUUUCUGAAGGAACCCAAAGGACCUGCAAACAACACAGACGCCCUCUUUCAGUGCUCCACCUCGAUUAGAGGCGUUUAGACACGGGGGUCACAGGUGAAUAGCGUGAUAACGUUUGCUUUGGACCAGGCAGCAACCUCCGGUUCUUCCCUCACGUGUUGUGAGUUGAUCUGUUUUUGUGUAUUGAAGCGAUUAAUUCUAUAAAAAAAUGAAAAUGUUUUAUAAAGAAACUGGGUUCCACCCUGAAGGCGAAGACACUUCAACACUUUAGUUGACAAAAAUCACAAUUUUUUUGGUGAUAAUAUGUGUUCAAAUAAAAUGUAUUAUUCGCUCCUUAAAUAAUGAUAUUCAGAAUCAAAGAGCCAAAUAUUCAGAUUCAGAACGUAUUCGGUGUGAUGGAUCAGCAGUGAAGCUGUCUGGAGGAAGCUGGUCUGAUGUUGUGGUUUUGGUUUCUUCUGCUUGGAGGACGGUUGAGGUCAUAAAGAGGGAAGCACUUAUUGCUUAAUACUUGAAGUUCCCACGGUCUGAAUUAUACACAAACAUGAUACUAGUAAUACAAGUUAGAGGUUUUCUUCGUGAGUACACUUCUUUGUGAGUAAAUAACAGACGAGACACAUUGUGAGCGAUGCUGCAGCUGCAGCGUGAGCUUUGGUCUAAACUAGAGCAGAGGAGGAGGCCUUCAGGGAACUGAAAGGUUUUUGAGGAAUGAGUCACCGGAGUCGGACGCUAACGUUCUCGAUCCAGAUGCUGACGCUGCACACAUCUGGCCUCUGCGAUGCCAACUGAACCUGCUGAUGGUCUCUGGAUGUUACUCCUUAUUUGUUCCACCAAUACGGCAAAAGUGGGCGUGUCCUCGGUCCCUCAGAUGAUCGUCAUCGUGUGUUUUUCAAGCAUCACAGCGGUUCCCUCCACAAAAAGACUAUUUGGAACAGUCAGCGUGUGUGUGAGUCAAACUGUCGUCUCCGAUUCUUCCAAGAUAAUUGUUGUAAAAACUGCCAUAAUGUUCCCCCUCAGUCAUCAGUCUGUCCUCCUCCACUGAGAGGGACACGCGUUCUGGGUCAUCUGAUGAUCAAGAUGUUUGUGCGUUGAUGUUUGCAGAGCCUGUUUUAGCAUCUUUAUGUUCCUGCUCUGGAGGAAGACAUGUAGCCGUGGUGCAUGUGCUGCAUGUGGUGCAUGUGCUGCAUGUGGUGCAUGUGCUGCAUGUGCUGCAUGACUUGUGUGUCACCUGUUUGCAAACAUUAAAUAUCUGAUUUGGAGGAUUUUACACCGGUGACGAAUGAGAAUUUUCUUCACUAUUGAACUUUGAUGACGUUUGAAGUGUAAAGGAACUCCACCUCGGUCACAUGACUUCACGUUAGCCUAUAAACUGUUGUAAACGGAUUGUUGAAAUGUUUCCCACUUUACUUUUGCUUUUAUUAAUAAAAUGAUUUUGUCUAUUACAAACUUUUAAACAUUUAUUUACGACCAUAGACGUGUUUGUUGCUAGCAAGCGUCUCAUAAAUGACCAGUUAAAGCAUUGUUACGUCAAAGGAUCUAUUAAUGAUGAAAAUACAAAGUGUUGACAGAACAAAUGAGCUUUAGUACGAAAAAAAGAGAAAAAAUAUAGUUAAAAAAUAGAAAUUGAUUUGUUUGAAAGGCAUAAAAAUAAAAAAAUAUAGCUUUAUAAAAUCUCCAUUAAGUUACAUUCACGUUACGCUUUUGGGUUCUUGCGAGUCGUCACUGUGGAGUAUGUGACGUCUACUUCGACCAAUCCUGUUGCUCCUCGGCCGAAGGGGCGGGGCUUGUCUCCAUGCUUCAGACUGGAAUAGUGCAGAGACUCUUCCUGCAGAGACACAAUGAAACGUUGAUCAAUAAUAUACGAUUCUCAAUCCGGACUGUUUGGAUCAAGCAGCGAUUGAAGAUUUAUAUUUAAGUACAGCUGUUUUUGAAAUAUUCAAACUUCACUUGAUUUUGAGAGCAGCUGAGGGAAGGAAGGAGGAGAAGAAGAAGGAAACAAAUAAGGAAAGACGGAAGGAAGGGAGGAGGAUAAGGAAGGAAACACAACAGGAGAAUGAUUUUAUUUAUCUACCAUGUUUAGCCAUUAGUUCAUUUUAAUCUCUUUAUGAAAUGAGAUUUGAUAAUAGUUUGUUGAAUAAAAGAAGAGAUGGUCUUCAUCACUGACCGCUGUGGCCUUCUGACCUCUGACUCUUCUUCUGCAGCAGCAAGCAGCGGUUUCACCUGGAGACAAAGAGAUCUUCUCUGUAACGUGGAUCAGCGCGUGUGUCCUCAGCGCCGUUACGUGGAUUCCAAUAACUGGCUCAGUCGGACUGAAGUCCAAUGAUCCGUUUCAUGUAAACGCUUUUGUCCGACUACGAUCCGACUGACACGCCUGGAUAGCUCCAUCCGAUCCGGUUGGUAGUUCGACUAUCGCGGCACGUGACGGUGGAUCGGAUGAGGAACUGGACUCGAGAUCCCGACGGCGUCUUCUCUCCGUUAUCAAAUCAGCCAAUAGCGCCAUUCGCCUUCGCUGUGCUCCUGUUAGCAUCAUGCAGACAGUAGAGGGACGUAGCUUCACCUCGCUCUCCGCUCGCCAUCUUUCUCCUAAUGUUGUUGUUGUUGUUGGUCGUGGUGAAGCGGUCAAGCGGAAAUGGCUGCAUCACAACUAGUUGUAAUGAAAACAGCGCCACCUAUCGUACCGGAUAUGACGAUAUGCUCUCAGCCAAUGAUUCCAUUUAUUCACUGCCGUGUAUAUUGAGAUAACAGAACCUCCCCCCGAAAGAUUACAAUUACACCAUCAUGUACACACACUGACACACACCUGAGUGCAGGCAGAGGCCAGCGAUGGCGGCGAGGCCGAAGACGAGCACAGCGGGAAGAGCGCAGAUCCCCGGACUCCAACAUGGCCGCCGCGCCGCCCCCCCGGCUCCUGGAGGCACAGAACCACGGGGUCAACGCACGCCUAUUGAUCGCUUCUGGGAGACAACGACCGUCAUUGUGAACCGUUCAGAAAGACAGGAAGCAAAUAUGAUACGUACAUAAUCAGAAUGAAGAGACAUUUAUUCAUUAAAAAACAGUCAAAUGGCCACCUCAUCCAUCUAAAGCCCUCGGAGACUUUCACGCUCAGUGAGUCCCUGAGGGUCAGGGGUCAGGGGUCAAGACCAGCCUCCCCAGCACCUUCAUCACAUGGGAUGUGAGGGCAACUGGUCGAUAGUCACUGAGGCUAGAUGGAGAUGACGUCUUUGGGACGAUGUCUUCCACAGCACGAGACGUCCUCCAGCUUCAAGCUCAGGUCAGGAGACGCUGCAGGACUUUAGACGGCUGGGUGGAGCAGCUCUUCACU
This is a long non-coding RNA of Gasterosteus aculeatus aculeatus (three-spined stickleback), 3831 nucleotides long. The record is from Ensembl. NCBI's taxonomy places the organism in Eukaryota, Metazoa, Chordata, Actinopteri, Perciformes, Gasterosteidae.